Molecule: long non-coding RNA, 389 nt
Organism: Lucilia sericata (common green bottle fly)
Lineage: Eukaryota; Metazoa; Arthropoda; Insecta; Diptera; Calliphoridae
Exons: 3
Source: RefSeq, a predicted model, not a curated record
AGUAAAGAGGCUCCUAAAGGCAUUAUACUUUUGGUUACUUUUUCGAUCUUUUACUGUUAUUAAUUAAACGUUUAAAAAACGUAAAGAAUAUACAACAUGGAACGAUAAAGUGUUCUUCAAAAGUGGAUCUAUACAAUGCCAAAGGAACCUAUAACCAAAAUUUCAUGAUUCUAGCUUUAACGGUUUGGGCUGGGCGAUGAUGAAUCAGUCAGUCAAUCAGUCACGCAAGCCUUUUAUAUAUAGAUUGAGAGAAGGAGAAUGGAUAGUUAGCUGCUGGUUUCAUACCUACAUCCUGUACAAAAAUAUUUUAACAGAUUAAAGUCUACUAAACUCACCUGCAAACAAAUCAUCUGUAGUAACAGUAUUACAUUCGACACCAUUACAACUGG